ACGUACACUCCUGCGGGAGGCAGCAGUAGGGAAUCUUCCACAAUGGGUGCAAACCUGAUGGAGCAAUGCCGCGUGAGUGAAGAAGGUCUUCGGAUCGUAAAGCUCUGUUGUUAGAGAAGAACACGUGCUAGGUAACUACUAGCGCCUUGACGGUAUCUAACCAGAAAGUCACGGCUAACUACGUGCCAGCAGCCGCGGUAAUACGUAGGUGACAAGCGUUGUCCGGAUUUAUUGGGCGUAAAGGGAGCGCAGGCGGUCUGUUUAGUCUAAUGUGAAAGCCCACGGCUUAACCGUGGAACGGCAUUGGAAACUGACAGACUUGAAUGUAGAAGAGGAAAAUGGAAUUCCAAGUGUAGCGGUGGAAUGCGUAGAUAUUUGGAGGAACACCAGUGGCGAAGGCGAUUUUCUGGUCUAACAUUGACGCUGAGGCUCGAAAGCGUGGGGAGCGAACAGGAUUAGAAACCCUAGUAGUCCC
RNAcentral lists this ribosomal RNA (475 nucleotides) under uncultured organism. RNAcentral describes it as "partial 16S ribosomal RNA". It matches the Rfam family "Bacterial small subunit ribosomal RNA", at positions 329 to 797 of the family's 1533-position model. The record is from RNAcentral.